AUUUAAAUAGCUUAUAUAUAGAGUUUAAUAUUGAAGAUAUUAAGGAGAUUAAUUAAUCUUUAAAUA
Molecule: transfer RNA, 66 nt
Filed under: Agnidra scabiosa
Lineage: Eukaryota; Metazoa; Arthropoda; Insecta; Lepidoptera; Drepanidae
Description: tRNA-Phe
Source: RNAcentral